GACGAACGCUGGCGGCGUGCUUAACACAUGCAAGUCGAACGGAAAGGCCCUUCGGGGUACUCGAGUGGCGAACGGGUGAGUAACACGUGGGUGAUCUGCCCUGCACUUUGGGAUAAGCCUGGGAAACUGGGUCUAAUACCGAAUAUGAUCAUCAGCUUCAUGGUUGGUGGUGGAAAGCUUUUGCGGUGUGGGAUGGGCCCGCGGCCUAUCAGCUUGUUGGUGGGGUAAUGGCCUACCAAGGCGACGACGGGUAGCCGGCCUGAGAGGGUGACCGGCCACACUGGGACUGAGAUACGGCCCAGACUCCUACGGGAGGCAGCAGUGGGGAAUAUUGCACAAUGGGCGCAAGCCUGAUGCAGCGACGCCGCGUGAGGGAUGACGGCCUUCGGGUUGUAAACCUCUUUCAGCACGGACGAAGCGCAAGUGACGGUAUGUGCAGAAGAAGGGCCGGCCAACUACGUGCCAGCAGCCGCGGUAA
This 478-nucleotide ribosomal RNA is filed under the name uncultured bacterium. RNAcentral describes it as "partial 16S ribosomal RNA". It matches the Rfam family "Bacterial small subunit ribosomal RNA", at positions 28 to 523 of the family's 1533-position model. The record is from RNAcentral.